RNAcentral lists this ribosomal RNA (301 nucleotides) under uncultured bacterium. Its description in RNAcentral is "partial 16S ribosomal RNA". It matches the Rfam family "Bacterial small subunit ribosomal RNA", at positions 509 to 809 of the family's 1533-position model. The record is from RNAcentral.
CAGCCGCCGCGGGAAUACAGAGGGUGCAAGCGUUAAUCGGAAUUACUGGGCGUAAAGCGCGCGUAGGUGGUUUGUUAAGUUGGAUGUGAAAGCCCCGGGCUCAACCUGGGAACUGCAUCCAAAACUGGCAAGCUAGAGUACGGUAGAGGGUGGUGGAAUUUCCUGUGUAGCGGUGAAAUGCGUAGAUAUAGGAAGGAACACCAGUGGCGAAGGCGACCACCUGGACUGAUACUGACACUGAGGUGCGAAAGCGUGGGGAGCAAACAGGAUUAGAGACCCCGGUAGUCCCUGUCUCUUAUAA